This is a long non-coding RNA of Meriones unguiculatus (Mongolian gerbil), 414 nucleotides long. RefSeq lists it as uncharacterized. Lineage: Eukaryota; Metazoa; Chordata; Mammalia; Rodentia; Muridae. The transcript is spliced from 3 exons. The record is from RefSeq and is a predicted model, not a curated record.
UUUAGAAGGGGUCAUUGGAGUCUGAGCUCCUUGAGUCUCUUUGUACAGUCUCCCUAUGGGUUCUAAUGUGUGUGCAGCCAGCAGAGUGGCAUCACAGAAGACAUUCACAUAACUUAAGUAUGCUUGCAGCUAUUUUUCCUUGUAAAUGAGGCACUUUAACAUGAGCUCACGUUCUCACAGAGACGUGGAGGAGGAUUUGAUGCAGAUGUCAUUCAGCCGAGGAAGGAGACUUGUUGCAGCAACCCAUAUUGCCAGAUCACAAAGCCUGCUGCAUGUCAAGCACUGAGUCUUAUUUGCAACUCAUUAAGCACUGAGGUGGUGUCGUCAUGCUUCCUGAAGAAGAAGAGAAAAGACCAAGAAAGUUGCCAUUUGCUAAGGGUAACAUAGAAAAGGCAGCAGGAACCAGGGCACCAG